UGACUGUGGAGGAAGAGAGUAGAAUGAUACUCCCUAGUAUAAGGAGAAACUAAACAGCUUGCCAGCUUGGUUAAGAAUGGAUGGAGUUAUUAAAUAAAGACUGGGCUUCAUUGUGUUUAAGAGUCUCAGUACAAAGGAGUAGUCCUUAGAGCCUUCAUUGUGGUUAAAUUGUAUUCUUGACUUUUAGUAUGAAUUUAUUAUGUAAUUUUAAGGAAAUUUGACCCACUAAUAAUAUUUUGUUUCUAGUUAAGGUUAAAUUCUGUAUAUAUAUUGUCACAUUUUAGCCUUUUAUAAGAGACAUGUGGGAGAACCCUUCCUGCUGUUGAAGCAUAUGAGUCUUCA
RNAcentral lists this long non-coding RNA (342 nucleotides) under Bos taurus (domestic cattle). RNAcentral describes it as "long non-coding RNA NONBTAT002799". The record is from RNAcentral. Lineage: Eukaryota; Metazoa; Chordata; Mammalia; Artiodactyla; Bovidae.